CCCAGACCCAGAACACUGACAGCACCAAAUGCUGUCAAGGCUGUGGAACAUCUUUUCAUACUCCUCGAAGUGCUCCUAGGAACAGACAGACAUAGCUACUGAGCUUGCCGGUGAUCGUUGUGGGCUCAGCGAUCUGGAGCCACACUGCAAACAUCACUGACAUGUCAGCACCG
Molecule: long non-coding RNA, 173 nt
Organism: Eptesicus fuscus (big brown bat)
Lineage: Eukaryota; Metazoa; Chordata; Mammalia; Chiroptera; Vespertilionidae
Exons: 3
Source: RefSeq, a predicted model, not a curated record